Molecule: ribosomal RNA, 772 nt
Filed under: uncultured bacterium
Lineage: Bacteria
Description: bacterial SSU rRNA
Rfam family: Bacterial small subunit ribosomal RNA
Source: RNAcentral
AGUUUGAUCCUGGCUCAGAAUGAACGCUGGCGGCAUGGAUUAGGCAUGCAAGUCGAACGGUGAAGUGGAGCUUGCUCCGCGGAUCAGUGGCGAAAGGGUGAGCAACACGUGAGCAACCUGCCCCCGAGUUCGGGAUAGGCCCGGGAAACUGGGAUUAAUACCGGAUGUGGUUGUCCUGCUCAUGCGGGACGGACUAAAGGCGAAAGCCGCUCAGGGAUGGGCUCGCGUCCGAUUAGCUUGUUGGUAGGGUGACGGCCUACCAAGGCUUUGACCGGUAGCUGGUCUGAGAGGAUGGUCAGCCACACUGGGACUGAGACACUGCCCAGACUCCUACGGGAGGCUGCAGUCGAGAAUCUUCGGCAAUGGGCGAAAGCCUGACCGAGCGAUGCCGCGUGAGGGAUGAAGGCCUUCGGGUCGUAAACCUCUGUCACCCGGGACGAAGAAUGUGACGGUACCGGGAGAGGAAGCACCGGCUAACUACGUGCCAGCAGCCGCGGUAAUACGUAGGGUGCGAGCGUUAUUCGGAUUUACUGGGCGUAAAGGGUCCGCAGGGGGUUUGCCAAGUCCGAUGUGAAAUACCGCAGCUUAACUGUGGAACGGCAUUGGAUACUGGCGAACUAGAGUGCAUGAUGGGUGAGCGGAAUUCCUGGUGUAGCGGUGGAAUGCGUAGAUAUCAGGAAGAACACCGAUGGCGAAGGCGGCUCACUGGCGUGCAACUGACCCUCAGGGACGAAAGCGUGGGGAGCAAACAGGAUUAGAUACCCUGGUAGUC